Gavialis gangeticus (Gharial) is the source of this 4961-nucleotide long non-coding RNA. RefSeq lists it as uncharacterized. Lineage: Eukaryota; Metazoa; Chordata; Crocodylia; Gavialidae. The record is from RefSeq and is a predicted model, not a curated record. The transcript has 2 exons.
GGGAGGGUCUGACAGCUUUUCUGAGACAAAUAAGAAUGGUGGGGAGAGGAGAAUGAGGGCAGAGGUUUGAUCAUUGCUACUCUUUUCUUCUUUUGUUUUCUUCCAUUCUCUUUUUUAACUCAUCUCUCCACUUUCCUUUCAUCCAUACCCCCUUUGGCCAUUCUCGCCUGCCUUCUCUUUCCCUGCCCUUACUGUUUCCCUAAGACUGCCUCAGUCCUUUCUGUCUCUGGGAAUGAUUGGUCCCUUCCAUCCAGACCUCAGAGAGGUUGGUAAAGACCUUCUGGGUCAGGCAGAAGAGCGAAGUUUUAAGUCUGGCUAGCUUUUUCAUGAAAAACUAGGCUGCUUAAGGUGAGUUCCUGCUGUGACAAUGAGUGACUGCAUAUCCAGGGUUGGGGUUGGGGGCACAGCUGUUGCAGGGGCAAGAGACAGGGCAACCCGGGAUCCCAGAGUUGUGUCUGUUUGUGACUUUCUCAUUGAUUCCCUCUGUGGCCUCGGGAAAUUCUCUUCCCCAUUCUGCCUCUCGGCCCAAUGGGAGGAGGGCACCCUAGGGUGCUAAAAGGCCCUGCAGUGCCCAGUGCUAUUCUUUGGCUCUCUGGGCAUGCACAGUCCAGAAUAUAAACCCAACACCGGGCACAGGUUACUCAAAGACCCCCCCCGGGAAGAGAAGUGGACAGAGAAACAAAGAGAACAGAGAUGCCACUGGCCCUGGCAGCAGCGAGGACUACAACAGGAUCAGCAGCAGCAGAAGUGACAGCAACAAGGACAGCGAAUGAACUGAGAAUGUCAAUCCCAAAUUGGGGCUUGGACUGAAGGACGGCGAUUGGGGUAGGUGAGGGUGGAGGGUGGGUGCGCAGAGGAGUGUUGUGUGACCACAGGACACGAGAGGGCUGAAUUUGGUCAGACCCUCUGGAUUCCUAUUAGUAGAAGCGGACCUGUCCCUCCUUACCAGGCGAGGACAGUUCUGGCAGCUUCCCCUUCUUCUGCUCCACUGACCAGCCCAGCUCUCCUGGUCCUUCCUCUCCUAGCCCAGCAGGUCUUCUCCCCUAUCCCCCAGGAUCUCCUCUGGUCAAACUGGUUCUCUGCUAGUUCCCCCAACUUUGGGGCUGAAAAGGGAGAAUUACAGUAAAGCGGCACAAUAUGAACCUGACAAGCAGGUCAUUACCCCAAACUCCUGGAAAACAACUCUAAUAUUUAAGCAGGCAAUAGGCUCCUUAUCAGCCCAGUCCAGCCCUCACCUCAAUCAGGCUGCAGACUCUUUUGCAUUCAGACUCUCCUGUGUAUUUUUCUUCCCCACUCCACAGGCCGGUAAGACUGCUACCCGUUUCCCCUGAGCUGCGCCUAAGCAGUCUCCAUCCCUCGGCACGGCUGUCCAAAACCUGCCGAGUCCAUCAACUGAAGCAAGUGAAGCCAAGCCUCAGCUCCACGAGACCUAGCUGCUCUGACCAUCACGUAGGCAUAUUCCACAGGUGCCCGGCUGUUUUCUCCUUCAAACUGCUGGGUGAGCCGGAGAGGCGGUGCAGGCUCCUCUACUAGAGAUUGUUAAAAGCGGGUUAGACAGGCAUCUGCCAAUGGAUGGACUAGGUAUACUGGGUUUUGCCUUAAGAUGCGGCAAGAUGAUCUCUUGAGGCUCCUCCCAGCCCCGCAUUUCUGUGAUGCUCCAGUUCCCAGUUGCCUCCACAUACAGCCUGGGGAGGAAGCAGAGCCAUCCAGGGACUGCCAGCCUGACGGCAAAGUGCCCGAUACAGCUGGGAACUGGGAACCAAGCUGGUCAGCUGCAAGGAUUUGUACAGCACCCUCAAAAUACCUCGUAGGCUCUGUUGGAUGAUUCUGGAGGCCCCAGGUCCAAGCAAAUAUUAUUUGACAGAAGCACUGCUGUGAAUGCACCAGUUUGGCUGUGGCCAUUUGUUAGGGAGGAUGUCAUCACUGCAGGAGUUCACCACUCGUAGCCUAACUGGAGUGGCCAAGCAUCCUUUUUCAGAAGUACCUUGCUUGGGACUUAAUAUCCCAUGACCUGCAUGUUCCCAAGCAAGGAUCACAAAACAGAUGGGUGUCUGCACCAUGGUGGGGCAUAGCCUCCAAGAAAUAAAUAAGCAUCGUCCUGGGAUUUUCAUCGUUAUUUUUCCAUCUCCUCAGUUCAGAGGUGGCUAACAUGGGUCUGUUGGAUGCCUAUCUAUGGUGGCCAGGAUCUGGGAUUCAGGGCAGCUUUCUGCCUAUUUUUUGAAAGAACAUGAAUCUCCUCUGGAUGAUUGUUCAGGGGGCUCCUGAUACCUGCAGACAGUCCCUGGUGUCUUACCUUCCUGACGGCAGAGAGGAAACACCAAGCCACUUAGAGCACCUGUUUGCAGCCUCCCUUCCCGGCACACGUGACUGCUGCUGCAUCUACCUCGUCAGAGCUGUUGGUUAAACACAAUAUGAACAAUUUGAGAGCCCUUCCCAGACGAACCGGAGAGCAGCCAGCUCAUGCUCCAGCAUCCUCCCCUCCCCACAGCAUGGCUUCCCUUCUCCAAACCCACCCGGACUGACUGACCACCAUGAUCAUCGUACAGCUGGGGUGCAGACCCCCAAGCAAGCAUUAAUACACAAGCCCAUAAUGUGCCGGUGGGAACAUUGACCUUACACCGACGCAUGCCAGCAACAGAACCCGCUGGGAAAAAAACCUAUGCAGCCUCCAUACACAAUGCACCCUCCAAGGACGUCUCUCAAGGAUUUCCUUCUCCGCACGCUGAGUUGGACAGAACCGAAUUUCCUGGUCAUCUGUCCAGCCACAUUUCCCAGAAUUGCACAAGGGCUCAGUGUCAAGUAGGAUGCCCAGGAAGGGUUAAUUUGUCCAAGGCAGCCUCUUGCACAAGUGGUUUGCAAGGGUGCCCUCAGGGGUAAGAGCAGCCAAUUAAAAUUUGCCCUGAUGAAGUCAUGCUGGUAAAUGGAUACCCUGCCGGGGCAGGACGGUGGGUGGAGUGUCGGUCGAACCCACAGAACCAGAAGUCACCCUCCCCAGUUUGCGCAGGCAGUUUCAAUUAAGCUCAAAGGAAUUGCACCUUUAAGUUUAAUACAAUUAGCAGAUCUUUGUCUAGCUUGACUGUGGACUUAUAAUAACUUUGAUCCCUGUGUGAAAGGCCCUUCUAAUAAUACCUCGCUCUUACAUAAUGCUCUGCAUUGGUGGAUCUUGCAGUGCUUUACAAAGGAAGUCAGUUUAACACUCCCCAUUUUACACACGGGGAAACCGAGGCACAGAGAAGGAUGAGUUUGUCCAAACUCACUCAGCUGGUCAGCGGCAGUGCGCAGGUCUUCUGCAUCCCUGGCCACUUUCUUCCUUGGUUUCCACGGACCAAGGAUUUGAGUGGUGUGUGGUACCAGGGGUCCUCAACAUGGAAUCACAUUUUAAUUGAGCGAUUACCUUCUGGAUACCUGCCUUCAGUCCACCAGACCACUGUAUGAGCUAGACCGCUUGCUUACAUGGAAAAGUCACAUUAGGAAAGUAGGCGAUGUAUUUUUAACCAUCUGUAAUGCAAUUCAGCAGCUGGAAACAAGGAAGAAAGCCAGCGCCAUGCAACCAGCCAGAUCUCGGCUGUCCACAAGCAAGUAAUCCAUGGACAAUCUGGGGACCCUUGUAUACCAGCAUUUUUGAUGUAGCAAGAGAUCGUGUAUUGAGAAAGAGUAGCCAAGAGCCUUGUACCAGAGGCAGCUGCAUGAAAGCCUAAGCAUGGAGUAAAAGAGCAGUCCUUGACUUGAACCCCGUAGGAAGGCUGACAACCCCAGUGGCACCAGACAUGACAAAAACAUCCCUUAAACCAAUGUACUGCUUAUGCCUGCAAAUACCCAGGGCUGUAGGUGAGCUGACUUCCAGGCAAGCUUGGCACAUGGGGCUGGAAUGCUUUUGAAAAGCUUUCCAAGGGGGUAGGGGGGUCACAGAAAGCCCUGCUAGGAGCUGAGCUGUUUAGAAAGUCUGGCCCUGACUGGGUGCUUAUCCACAUGAAAUUCUGCCCUCCCAGCUACAUUUUCAAACGCGGGUUCCUGUUGUGCCUGCAAAUGCCUCACUUUGUGCAUAAAUUGGGUAACUCUGCACCUACAGUCUCAUUUGCAUGUGCAGUUUCCCAAUUUGUGCACAGAAAAGCCUGUUUCCACAUGCAGCUGCAGGGGGUGGGUGUGAUGGAUGUGUGUGCAAAUUUUGCAAGCACAAGGGAGGCCCUUGCUUUUGAGAACAUAGCUGCUAAUAUUUCGCUGUGACUGUAGGAGCAGUGAGCAGCCUCUCACAUGCAUUUUUCUUGCGACUAUCAGCCAUUUCCAGAGAGCCAAUCUUUGCUUUUGUUGUAACCUUUGAAGUUACAGUUUGACUCUCACAUUGUCAUCACCGAUCUUAAAUGCCGAGUCCAUCAGUCAAUGGCUGAAGUGGGUGGCAGAGGACAGGGGAUGCCUGGGAUGUGUUGAUGUAGUCUCCAUCAUUCUCACUGAAUGCACUUCUGAAAAGCACUUGAAAUACUGUGAUGGGGGUGGGACAAGAGUCUAUAUAAAACAGGACAUAAUUCUGGGACAUGUGCUUAUCCUGCUGUCAGCGUUCCUCAAGCAAGACACUACUUUGUUAGUCACUGGGAGGGUCUUGCGAGUGAAAUCAUCAGGUAUUGCACCUUCGCAAGCUACGUGGGGUCCAGCCAGGUCUCCCAGGUAGACACCAGGUUGUUAGGGCUGUGCUACAAUAACUGAGUACUUGGGAGUUUCUGUCUCGUUGCCCAAUACGUUUUGCACCCCAGUUCUUUGCACAAUUUGUUGUCAAGAACAGUCUGAUCUUGUUGAAUGAAUAUUUAGGCUCAGGAUUGUUGCAUACAGGAGAAGCUCCCAGGUCAAGAAAGUCCAGAGAUUGAUUGAAACAUGUAAUAAAAGGCAGCUUCCAUGAGAUGGUAGAAAUUCUUCACUUUGGGAGCCGCAGAGUCAAAUCAAAGACUGGAAAUAAAGGGGACGUGCUCAUA